GAUGGAUCAUUUCGAUGAAAACCUUUUUUUUGAGGUGUGGCUCGCACCUGUCUAACUAAACUUGAGCUACCUUUUUAACACGGUUGCAUCGGUUGGGCCUGUCAAACAGUGCAAUUACGCGCUGGGAGACGGUCUCGACACUUUUAACCAAACACUUUUGAUGAUCUAGGAUUUGAAUGAAGUUCAUUUUUACGAUGGAACCGACUGGUAAUGCGGUCGACUAAAUCUAAAAAACAACUUUUGGCAACGGAUCUCUUGGUUCUCCCAUCGAUGAAGAACGCAGCGAAUUGCGAUAAGUAAUGUGAAUUGCAGAAGUGAAUCAUCGAAUCUUUGAACGCACCUUGCGCUCCCUGCAGAUCUAAUCUGGGGAGCAUGCCUGUUUGAGGGCCGCGAAUUGUUUCGAACGACACCUUUUUUUUUUUAACGAAGAGGGUGACGGAUCGGUAUUGAGGAUUUUUGCCAUUCACCGUGGCUUCCUCGAAAAGCAUUAGCGCAUCCAUUCAAUAGGCAAGACGGACGAAAGCUCGAAUUUCGCCCUGUUCUUCCCUGCCGGGUUUUGAUAAUAUCAGGACUUCGGAGGCGGAGAGAGGGUUCAAGCUGGACGCAACGUUUUGCUGGUUGGAGUGCUUCUAACCCCGCCCAUGACUGGUCCUUCGGGAACAGGAAGGGAUUUUUUUCAAUCAUCGGCCUCAAAUUGGUAGGACUACCCGCUGAACUUAAGCUAU
Molecule: unclassified non-coding RNA, 725 nt
Filed under: Metschnikowia sp. JSKim-2014
Lineage: Eukaryota; Fungi; Ascomycota; Pichiomycetes; Serinales; Metschnikowiaceae
Description: partial contains 18S rRNA, ITS1, 5.8S rRNA, and ITS2
Rfam family: 5.8S ribosomal RNA (bases 236-390)
Source: RNAcentral